RNAcentral lists this ribosomal RNA (253 nucleotides) under uncultured bacterium. RNAcentral describes it as "partial 16S ribosomal RNA". It matches the Rfam family "Bacterial small subunit ribosomal RNA", at positions 524 to 776 of the family's 1533-position model. The record is from RNAcentral.
UACGGGGGGGGCAAGCGUUGUUCGGAAUUACUGGGCGUAAAGGGCUCGUAGGCGGCCAACUAAGUCAGACGUGAAAUCCCUCGGCUUAACCGGGGAACGGCGUCUGAUACUGGAUGGCUUGAGUUCGGGAGAGGGAUGCGGAAUUCCAGGUGUAGCGGUGAAAUGCGUAGAUAUCUGGAGGAACACCGGUGGCGAAGGCGGCAUCCUGGACCGAGACUGACGCUGAGGAGCGAAAGCCAGGGGAGCAAACGGG